Molecule: ribosomal RNA, 468 nt
Filed under: uncultured bacterium
Lineage: Bacteria
Description: partial 16S ribosomal RNA
Rfam family: Bacterial small subunit ribosomal RNA
Source: RNAcentral
GACGAACGCUGGCGGCGUGCUUAACACAUGCAAGUCGAACGGAAAGGCCCUGCUUUUGUGGGGUGCUCGAGUGGCGAACGGGUGAGUAACACGUGAGUAACCUGCCCUUGACUUUGGGAUAACUUCAGGAAACUGGGGCUAAUACCGGAUAGGAGCUCCUGCUGCAUGGUGGGGGUUGGAAAGUUUCGGCGGUUGGGGAUGGACUCGCGGCUUAUCAGCUUGUUGGUGGGGUAGUGGCUUACCAAGGCUUUGACGGGUAGCCGGCCUGAGAGGGUGACCGGCCACAUUGGGACUGAGAUGCGGCCCAGACUCCUACCGGAGGCAGCAGUGGGGAAUAUUGCACAAUGGGCGGGAGCCUGAUGCAGCAACGCCGCGUGGGGGAUGACGGCCUUCGGGUUGUAAACCGCUUUCGCCUGUGACGGAGCGUGAAUGACGGUAAUGGGUAAAGAAGCACCGGCUAACUACGUG